This 70-nucleotide transfer RNA is filed under the name Ictidomys tridecemlineatus (thirteen-lined ground squirrel). Its description in RNAcentral is "Spermophilus tridecemlineatus (thirteen-lined ground squirrel) tRNA". It matches the Rfam family "tRNA". Rfam says of the family: Transfer RNA (tRNA) molecules are approximately 80 nucleotides in length. Their secondary structure includes four short double-helical elements and three loops (D, anti-codon, and T loops). Lineage: Eukaryota; Metazoa; Chordata; Mammalia; Rodentia; Sciuridae. The record is from Rfam by way of RNAcentral.
UGCAGUGUAGCUCAAGGGUAGAGCAUGUGCUUUGCAUGUGCAAGGCCCUGGGUUUGAUUCCUAGCACCAA